AACAAGGUUUCCGUAGGUGAACCUGCGGAAGGAUCAUUAAAGAAAGGAUCGAGUUUGCAGUGUCCGCCACUGCAAGCUCUCUCCGAAACCCCAACCCUUGAUCACUGUACCUUUGUUGCCUCGGCGGGUUCGCCCGCCGGUGGAUGCAAUCAAACUACUGUUUAACUGUGUAGUCUGAGCGAUCAUAGCAAUAGUCAAAACUUUCAACAACGGAUCUCUUGGUUCUGGCAUCGAUGAAGAACGCAGCGAAAUGCGAUAAGUAGUGUGAAUUGCAGAAUUCAGUGAAUCAUCGAAUCUUUGAACGCACAUUGCGCCCUUUGGCAUCCCGAAGGGCAUGCCUGUUCGAGCGUCAUUUCACCAAUCAAGCCUGGCUUGGUAUUGGGACCCGUCCACCUAUCGAGGUGAGCGCUCCCCAAAAGCAUUGGCAGUAUGGUGCCGGCUUCGAGCGUAGCAGAAAUCUCGCUCCAUGGGCCUGGCACUGUAGUGGCCGCGAGUUAUACCCAAGGUGACCUCGAUCAGU
Molecule: ribosomal RNA, 520 nt
Filed under: Hysterium angustatum
Lineage: Eukaryota; Fungi; Ascomycota; Dothideomycetes; Hysteriales; Hysteriaceae
Description: eukaryotic LSU rRNA
Rfam family: 5.8S ribosomal RNA (bases 199-352)
Source: RNAcentral